UACGUAGGGGGCUAGCGUUGUCCGGAUUUAUUGGGCGUAAAGAGCGUGUAGGCGGCCAAGUAUGUCCGGUGUGAAAACUCGAGGCUUAACCUCGAGAUGUCAUCGGAAACCAUUUGGCUAGAGUCCGGAAGAGGAAAGUGGAAUUUCUGGUGUAGCGGUGAAAUGCGCAGAUAUCAGGAAGAACACCAAUGGCGAAAGCAGCUUUCUGGGACGGUACUGACGCUGAGACGCGAAAGCGUGGGGAGCGAACAGG
RNAcentral lists this ribosomal RNA (253 nucleotides) under uncultured bacterium. RNAcentral describes it as "partial 16S ribosomal RNA". It matches the Rfam family "Bacterial small subunit ribosomal RNA", at positions 524 to 776 of the family's 1533-position model. The record is from RNAcentral.